UAAGUGCUUCCAUGUUUUAGUGA
RNAcentral lists this non-coding RNA (23 nucleotides) under Chrysemys picta bellii (western painted turtle). The record is from RNAcentral. RNAcentral also lists the same sequence under 10 other names. Lineage: Eukaryota; Metazoa; Chordata; Testudines; Emydidae.